GUGCCAGCAGCCGCGGUAAUACGUAGGUGGCAAGCGUUACUCGGAAUCACUAGGCGUAAAGCGCAGGUAGGAGGUUUGGUAAGUCUGUUGUGAAAGCUCCCGGCUCAACUGGGAGAGGUCAACGGAAACUACUAGGCUAGAGUGCGGUAGAGGAAGGUGGAAUUCCCGGUGUAGCGGUGAAAUGCGUAGAUAUCGGGAGGAAUACCUAUGGCGAAAGCAGCCUUCUGGACCGUCGCUGACUCUGAUCUGCGAAAGCUAGGGGAGCAAACAGGAUUAGAAACCCCAGUAGUCC
This 292-nucleotide ribosomal RNA is filed under the name uncultured bacterium. Its description in RNAcentral is "partial 16S ribosomal RNA". It matches the Rfam family "Bacterial small subunit ribosomal RNA", at positions 505 to 796 of the family's 1533-position model. The record is from RNAcentral.